Molecule: long non-coding RNA, 662 nt
Filed under: Mus pahari (shrew mouse)
Lineage: Eukaryota; Metazoa; Chordata; Mammalia; Rodentia; Muridae
Description: lncRNA (MGP_PahariEiJ_G0003111.1)
Source: RNAcentral
UGAAAUAGUGUCAAGACAUCACACCCAUGUUAUAACUGUGGUAUUUAUUUAUUUUGCUUUUAUAUGUUUAACUUUGUAUUCUUAGAACCAGCCUUAUUAUCAAUACAUCUUUGAGCUGCCGUGAGUAACAAUCUCUCCUGUAUGUAUCAAUACUCAUACUGAACAAUGAUUUCUGGGUUGCAGAAAAUUAUUUACUUUUGUAUUUGCCAAUUCAACAACACGUACCAUGUGUGCGCCUGGUUCCCAGAGUCCAAAAGAUGGUGUUGGAUCUCCUGGCAACCCGUAUGGAUACUGAGAACCAAACCGUGAUCCACUGCAAGAGAAGCAACUGUUGGUAACUGCUGGGCCAUAUUCUUAUAUUACCUAUGAUUACAACUAUCCCUAGUAUGUUUAGAUGUGUUCCCCAGAAUUCAUAUGUUGACAUCUUAAUCUCUAAAGUCUUAUGUGUUUGUUACUGAGGCCUUUUAGAUUAGGCAUUGCAGAUUAGACAAGGCAUGGGUGAGAUCCCUGUGAUCAAAUGGGUGUGGGAACAGAAGACUAGAGCCAGCAAGCUUGCAGAGCCUCACCAAGUGAUACCCUAAGUCACCUUUAGACUCUUCAGCAUCUCCAUCUGAAAAGAUGCACCAUAUAAGGCUAUUUUAACUUCCCAGCCUUCAAAAAAC